Molecule: ribosomal RNA, 301 nt
Filed under: uncultured bacterium
Lineage: Bacteria
Description: partial 16S ribosomal RNA
Rfam family: Bacterial small subunit ribosomal RNA
Source: RNAcentral
CAGUAGCCACGGGAACACGGAGGGUGCAAGCGUUAAUCGAAAUUACUGGGCGUAAAGCGCACGCAGGCGGUCUGACAAGUCAGAUGUGAAAUCCCCGGGCUUAACCUGGGAACUGCAUUUGAAACUGUCAGGCUGGAGUCUUGUAGAGGGGGGUGGAAUUCCAGGUGUAGCGGUGAAAUGCGUAGAGAUCUGGAGGAAUACCGGUGGCGAAGGCGGCCCCCUGGACAAAGACUGACGCUCAGGUGCGAAAGCGUGGGGAGCAAACAGGAUUAGAUACCCCCGUAGUACCUGUCUCUUAUAC